UCUCACAAAAUGUCUCACUUUCCUCAUCUCCUCCCGUUUUUAUUCUUGCUUUUUGUCAACCUUUGGCA
This is a non-coding RNA of Caenorhabditis elegans, 68 nucleotides long. The record is from Ensembl. Lineage: Eukaryota; Metazoa; Nematoda; Chromadorea; Rhabditida; Rhabditidae.